GACGAACGCUGGCGGCGUGCUUAACACAUGCAAGUCGAACGGAAAGGCCCCUUUGGGGGUACUCGAGUGGCGCACGGGUGAGUAACACGUGAGUAACCUGCCCUUGACUUCGGGAUAACUUCAGGAAACUGGGGUUAAUACCGGAUAGGAAUCCUUGCUGCAUGGUGGGGGUUGGAAAGCUUCGGCGGUUUUGGAUGGACUCGCGGCUUAUCAGCUUGUUGGUGGGGUAGUGGCUUACCAAGGCUUUGACGGGUAGCCGGCCUGAGAGGGCGACCGGCCACAUUGGGACUGAGAUACGGCCCAGACUCCUACGGGAGGCAGCAGUGGGGAAUAUUGCACAAUGGGCGGAAGCCUGAUGCAGCAACGCCGCGUGCGGGAUGACGGCCUUCGGGUUGUAAACCGCUUUCAGCAGGGGCGAAGCUUGUGGUGACGGUACCUGCAGAAGAAGCACCGGCUAACUACGUG
Molecule: ribosomal RNA, 465 nt
Filed under: uncultured bacterium
Lineage: Bacteria
Description: partial 16S ribosomal RNA
Rfam family: Bacterial small subunit ribosomal RNA
Source: RNAcentral